UAGGGAAUCUUCCACAAUGGGCGCAAGCCUGAUGGAGCAACACCGCGUGAGUGAAGAAGGGUUUCGGCUCGUAAAGCUCUGUUGUUGAAGAAGAACGUGCAUGAGAGUAACUGUUCAUGCAGUGACGGUAUUCAACCAGAAAGUCACGGCUAACUACGUGCCAGCAGCCGCGGUAAUACGUAGGUGGCAAGCGUUAUCCGGAUUUAUUGGGCGUAAAGAGAGUGCAGGCGGUUUCUUAAGUCUGAUGUGAAAGCCUUCGGCUCAACCGAAGAAGUGCAUCGGAAACUGGGAGACUUGAGUACAGAAGAGGGCAGUGGAACUCCAUGUGUAGCGGUGGAAUGCGUAGAUAUAUGGAAGAACACCAGUGGCGAAGGCGGCUGCCUGGUCUGUAACUGACGCUGAGACUCGAAAGCAUGGGUAGCGAACAGGAUUAGAUACCCUGGUAGUCCAUGCCGUAAACGAUGAGUGCUAGGUGUUGGAGGGUUUCCGCCCUUCAGUGCCGGAGCUAACGCAUUAAGCACUCCGCCUGGGGAGUACGACCGCAAGGUU
This 549-nucleotide ribosomal RNA is filed under the name uncultured bacterium. RNAcentral's name for it is "bacterial SSU rRNA". It matches the Rfam family "Bacterial small subunit ribosomal RNA", at positions 355 to 895 of the family's 1533-position model. The record is from RNAcentral.